UACGUAGGGGGCAAGCGUUGUCCGGAAUCAUUGGGCGUAAAGAGCGUGUAGGCGGUCCGGUAAGUCCGCUGUGAAAGUCAAGGGCUCAACCCUUGAAUGCCGGCGGAAACUGCCAGACUAGAGUCCGGAAGAGGCGAGUGGAAUUCCUGGUGUAGCGGUGAAAUGCGCAGAUAUCAGGAGGAACACCGACGGCGAAGGCAGCUCGCUGGGACGGUACUGACGCUGAGACGCGAAAGCGUGGGGAGCAAACAGG
RNAcentral lists this ribosomal RNA (253 nucleotides) under uncultured bacterium. RNAcentral describes it as "partial 16S ribosomal RNA". It matches the Rfam family "Bacterial small subunit ribosomal RNA", at positions 524 to 776 of the family's 1533-position model. The record is from RNAcentral.